AGAGAUGGAUUGGUGCCUUCGGGAACUCUGACACAGGUGCUGCAUGGCUGUCGUCAGCUCGUGUCGUGAGAUGUUGGGUUAAGUCCCGUAACGAGCGCAACCCUUGUCCUUAGUUGCCAUCAGGUCAAGCUGGGGACUCUAAUGAAACUGCCUACGCAAGUAGUGAGGAAGUGGGGAUGACGUCAAAUCAGCACGGCCCUUACGUCCAGGGCUACACACGUGCUACAAUGGCCGGUACAAAGGGCAGCCAAGCCGCGAGGUGGAGCUAAUACCCAUAAAACCGAUCGUAGUCCGGAUCGCAGUCUGCAACUCGACUGCGUGAAGUCGGAAUCGCUAGUAAUCGUGAAUCAGAAUGUCACGGUGAAUACGUUCCCGGGCCUU
RNAcentral lists this ribosomal RNA (381 nucleotides) under uncultured Pseudomonas sp. RNAcentral's name for it is "bacterial SSU rRNA". It matches the Rfam family "Bacterial small subunit ribosomal RNA", at positions 1002 to 1382 of the family's 1533-position model. The record is from RNAcentral. Lineage: Bacteria; Pseudomonadati; Pseudomonadota; Gammaproteobacteria; Pseudomonadales; Pseudomonadaceae.